GCUUACACAUGCAAGUCGAGCGGUAACAGAGAUAGCUUGCUAUCUGCUGACGAGCGGCGGACGGGUGAGUAAUGCUUGGGAAUAUGCCUUUGAGUGGGGGACAACAGUUGGAAACGACUGCUAAUACCGCAUAACGUCUACGGACCAAAGGGGGGGAUGCUUCGGCACCUCUCGCUCAUUGAUUAGCCCAAGUGAGAUUAGCUAGUUGGUAAGGUAAUGGCUUACCAAGGCGACGAUCUCUAGCUGGUUUGAGAGGAUGAUCAGCCACACUGGGACUGAGACACGGCCCAGACUCAUACGGGAGGCAGCAGUGGGGAAUAUUGCACAAUGGGCGAAAGCCUGAUGCAGCCAUGCCGCGUGUGUGAAGAAGGCCUUCGGGUUGUAAAGCACUUUCAGCGAGGAGGAAAGGUUAGUAGUUAAUAGCUGCUAGCUGUGACGUUACUCGCAGAAGAAGCACCGGCUAACUUCGUGCCAGCAGCCGCGGAAAUACGAGGGGUGCAAGCGUUAAUCGGAAUUACUGGGCGUAAAGCGUGCGUAGGUGGUUUGUUAAGCAAGAUGUG
RNAcentral lists this ribosomal RNA (560 nucleotides) under uncultured bacterium. RNAcentral's name for it is "bacterial SSU rRNA". It matches the Rfam family "Bacterial small subunit ribosomal RNA", at positions 46 to 596 of the family's 1533-position model. The record is from RNAcentral.